AGACUGGGAGGGACUUGCAGAGGUAUAAUGUUCAUGGUUGUCACCAAGUUGUAAGAGUAUGCACAAGAUUUGGUAUAUCUUCAAUACUGUAAAGAUGUGGCUUUUGCUGAAUUAAUUUCGUCUUGUGAGGGUCAUGAAGAAUAAAGUAUGAUACAGAAACUAUGGGAUUUCUAUCAAAAGAAUAAGGUAUUUCCUUUUACCUCUUUUUCUGUGAUUGUCUCUCAUGUGGUGAAAACCUGCCACCUGCGAUUUUGGCUCUUUUUUCAUCUAAGAUAGAUGAGAGUUCCAAGUUUUAUUGGUAACUGGACAGAACUGACAACAUUGUGAGUAUUGGUGAAGAAUCAUAUGAUAAUAUUUAAUGAUAAGCUAUGGUUUGCAUAUGGUAUCUUGAUUGAGAGAGUUACCAAAUUUGUUGCAGAUACAUGCGUGGCACAUUGCUAGAGCGCAAAUUUGCUUCUAAUUGUCAUAUCUGUGUUGCUUGUUAAUCAUAGCAAAUUAAGUCUUGUUUUUAAGUGUCCUUUAAAUCCCAAUACCUGAACGUUGACAAACGAGCUAAUCCCAUUAAGGGAAAUGAAACUUCAAUUUGAUAGAUGUUUACAUGCAUUGUUCUUGUCAGGCAAAUUUCUCAUUUAAGAGGAGGAAGCUUGCAAUUCCCAAAGUUACAGGGCAUGGAAAAGAUUAAAACAUUGUGCGUAGAAUACACUUAUAUUUUGUCAGAGUUAAUACUUAACACCUGAUUUGGUCCCACGACAAUGCUGAUUUUACUGACCUAGUCCUCAACAUCCAAUUGUACACAAUUAAAUCCCUGACUAUGCAAUUGUUACCCAGUAUUGUCCUCAGUUAAAUCUCCUGUUUGUUGACUGUCAAAAGUGAGGGCAAAAUAUAAUUUUACCAAUCUUUACAUGCAGGGGCUCGAACCUUGUUUUUUGCAACCUCUUCACUGAUUCCUUCAAGUCACCUUUGGUGAAUAUCAGUCCAACAUUACCACAAAACGAGGGAUGGGAUUGAGAAUGGCAUUGUUCCCAUCUUCUCAGCAUGAACUGAUGAAUACAAAUGCUUCUCUUAAUCAUGGUGUUUUUGCCCAUCAAUACCCCUCAAACCCUUUCUUAUGUUCUAAAGCUAAUUAUUUCCUAUCAAAAUCUGGGGGUGUACAGUGUACUUGUCUAGCCAUAUGCAAUAUUUUCUUAGCCUUAGUUUGUUUUACCACCAUUGAAGGAUCUAAGGUAAUUCAACUAUGACUUCACAGGAAAAUAAGAAUUUGAGCAAAAUUUAUGGCUAAGGCAGUCACUUUAGAAGCUCCUCCGUCAAGGCAGACAGAAGCGGUGCCAUCACUUUAACGGUUUAACUUAGAGCUUAAGAUGAAAGGGAAAAAGGAGAAGCAAAAAUGGCCUAUCCCCAUAGCUAAAACUGUGUAGCGUAGCGAGUAGAAAAGCUUCUAGUUCUUUAUUCUAAUCAGUUCAUUGAUAUAAUCUUUCCUGUUUCCAGCGUCUUUUCCUUGCAUGUAGUUGUUUCUUUUCUUCUUAAGACCAACCAGUGGAGCUUUGAGUUUAAAUGCCCAAAGGAAAUUGUUAGCUUCCUGGAAAUGUUGUCCAAAACAGUGAUGAUAUCAUCCUCCAUUAUACAUGAGUGCCUCCAUGCUAAGCUAAAGAAGAUCGCCUGUGGGGGUUUCUUAUAACAUGUAGUCAUGUAGGGUUACUAUUUCAAUAAUACCCUUGAAAAUUAACAGGAAUAAACACAGAGGACAAUGAAAUCAACAUUGUCGGGACCAAAUCGGGUAUUAGCUCAUUUUGUAACUAGAAAUCAAAUCUUCUCUUUGAUGCUUAUGUAGUUUAAAGCACUUUCCAAAUCAGAGUUAUGAGAAAUUGCUCUAUUUCUAGUCCAAUCCCAGAAUACAUGGGAGAUAUGCCGAAUUAAAAACUUUGUGAUUUUUCUUUUAAAAUCCUUUUUGUUGCUUGGUGGCAUCUCACAUUUAGUUUUGUUAAUAUCAGUUAACUUAAAGCACCCUAUUAUGCUGUUUAUCACUCAUAUUCUGUCGUUUCAUUUCUCUAACAUUGCAGGGGAAAAUCCCUCCAAGAUCAAAGUCCCUUAUAGGUGCUCUGAUAUUGCACAUUACAAAUAAGUUUGCCAUCUGCAAUAAUUUGGUUUUGAUGGUAUUUACUUUAUCUUCAAAAGUUGAGUGGUAAAACCCCAAUUGUAAAGAGCAAGAAAAUUGAAUGUGCAAGUACAUCACCCAUGAAUGCUUAA
Molecule: long non-coding RNA, 2244 nt
Organism: Ipomoea triloba (trilobed morning glory)
Lineage: Eukaryota; Viridiplantae; Streptophyta; Magnoliopsida; Solanales; Convolvulaceae
Exons: 2
Source: RefSeq, a predicted model, not a curated record